AGAAAUGAAACAAGCUGCGGUAAUUACUUUUAAAUUAAGCACAGAACACCAAGUGUCUGUUUGAUUUGCAAUGUUGCCUGUAUUUAUAGUUUAUUUUUUUCUGUUUUUUGUAGUGUUUCUUUUUACUUCACUUAAAAUUUUAAUAAUGUGCUGAUUUGUAAAUAGUUUGCAGCACUGAUAAUGGGUCAAAGAUAGGGAUAUGAUGAUCAUGAUAAUGAGUGAGCACUGCUGCUGCAGCCCUGAGCAAGGUACUCAACUGGAAUUGCUUCAGAAGACAUCCAGCUGUAUAAACGGAUUCUACGUAAAAUAAAAUGAAGAACCAGGUCCCUGUAUGCUGAUUCAAAUGUACGAGACAUGCUGGCAGGCAUAUCAAGCUCUUAUGUUUAUUUAUUCAUUUCUUUCUCACCACCUAUAAACCAGACCAGAACAGGAGGGAUUGUUCCGAGUGAAAAUAUUCCAUUCCUUGCCAAAACUGGAAAUAAAAAUGCUCCAAAUUUGGA
Anguilla rostrata (American eel) is the source of this 500-nucleotide long non-coding RNA. RefSeq lists it as uncharacterized. The record is from RefSeq and is a predicted model, not a curated record. The transcript is spliced from 4 exons. NCBI's taxonomy places the organism in Eukaryota, Metazoa, Chordata, Actinopteri, Anguilliformes, Anguillidae.